UGAAUGACUCAUGUCACACAAAAUGGUGUU
This 30-nucleotide non-coding RNA is filed under the name Mus musculus (house mouse). The record is from RNAcentral. Lineage: Eukaryota; Metazoa; Chordata; Mammalia; Rodentia; Muridae.